Molecule: long non-coding RNA, 1076 nt
Organism: Drosophila navojoa
Lineage: Eukaryota; Metazoa; Arthropoda; Insecta; Diptera; Drosophilidae
Source: RefSeq, a predicted model, not a curated record
CCGAUUCAUCGCAGUGACCUUUCGGAUAAAAGGAAUGUUUAAAUUUAUCAAUAAAUGAAUUGCCUGACUUUAAGAUUUAUCGAAAUACACUAGCAAACUUGUUUGUUUUUGGCAUAAGUCCGUGUUGGCCACACAGCAUCCACAACAGCAACAGCAGCUAGUCCUUGUGGUAAAAUAAAUUUUCUGCAAUUCAUGACAGCACCAGCAGUAGCAGGAGCAGCAGUAGAGGCAACUGAGCUCUCAGGUGUGGGCGUGCCGGAAGUACGUGCCAAGACACGAAACUUUUGCGAAAAGGAUUAGAGCAGGCGUGCGGAUGGAGCUCCCCCCACAGCCGAAUAAUACUCCGAGGACUUAAAAGGCAAUCAAAUUAAAUUGUUUUUGCGGUUAACCACAAAAGUUCUUCGGCUCAGAUCAGAAAUGCGAAAGAACCACAAAAUACAUAAACCAGUCCGUGUGUUCCGCAAAUCAAGCGAAAUUCUUUUGCUGUUGACGCAGCCACAGCACCAAUACAACUCAAUACACCCAAAGCACCUAUAAAUACUUACCUGAACAUUUGUUUACGUACCCAGCCCAAUUAGACGUAAACAAGAGCCGCCGGAAGUAGGCCACGUAAAAAAAACACAUCGAAUCCACCUUAACAACAACAUCCACAUUCAAAUCAACAGCAGCAAAUGAAGCUGGCAAUAAAUACAAACUGGCAUGAUAGAAACCAACUUGUCCAUCAAGCACUUAUACGGAAAGUGUUUAAAUAAAUAAACGCGAGUCAUCAAAAUACAAAUAACGCACGGACAACAGAAACGAAAAUUGUUUCGAAAAAUGUUCACGAGCAAUACGAAAAUAGCGCCACGAGGCGUUGGCAGCCCGAAAUACACAUACGAAAAAAGUUCUCCCGAAAGCCUGAUUGAAAUUGUGAAAAACUAAAUAUUUUCCGAGCAGUUCAGCGUGCAAUGAGCAGCCGUGCGGAGUGCAACGACAACGAAAAUCCGCGUAAAAAUGCUAUCAAAAUAUGUGCAAAAAACUGUGCAACAUUGAUAUGUAAACAUUUUUAGAAAGCAAAUAAAAUACACAAAAAAAAA